GACGAACGCUGGCGGCGCGCUUAACACAUGCAAGUCGAACGGAAAGGCCUGCUUUCCCUUGUGGAUUGCGGGUACUCGAGUGGCGAACGGGUGAGUAACACGUGAGUGAUCUGCCCCCAACUUGGGUAUAAGCCUGGGAAACUGGGUCUAAUUCCCGAUAGGACUGCAGGGUGGUGCCUGUGGUGGAAAACGAUUUUCUAGUGGUUGGGGAUGAGCUCGCGGCCUAUCAGCUUGUUGGUGGGGUAAGGGCUACCAAGGCGGCGACGGGUAGCCGGCCUGAGAGGGUGGACGGCCACAUUGGGACUGAGAUACGGCCCAGACUCCUACGGGAGGCAGCAGUGGGGAAUAUUGCACAAUGGGCGGAAGCCUGAUGCAGCGACGCCGCGUGGGGGAUGACGGCCUUCGGGUUGUAAACUCCUUUCGACCGCGAGGAAGCCACCUGGUUGGAAGGGUGGUGACGGUAGUGGUAGAAGAAGCACCGGCUAACUACGUG
RNAcentral lists this ribosomal RNA (493 nucleotides) under uncultured bacterium. Its description in RNAcentral is "partial 16S ribosomal RNA". It matches the Rfam family "Bacterial small subunit ribosomal RNA", at positions 28 to 507 of the family's 1533-position model. The record is from RNAcentral.